UACGUAGGGGGCAAGCGUUGUCCGGAAUUAUUGGGCGUAAAGAGCGUGUAGGCGGCCAGAUAAGUCCGCUGUGAAAUCUCGAGGCUCAACUUCGAGCUGUCGGUGGAAACUGUCUGGCUAGAGUCCGGAAGAGGAGAAUGGAAUUCCUGGUGUAGCGGUGAAAUGCGCAGAUAUCAGGAGGAACACCAAUGGCGAAGGCAGCACUCUGGGACGUGACUGACGCUGAGACGCGAAAGCGUGGGGAGCAAACAGG
Molecule: ribosomal RNA, 253 nt
Filed under: uncultured bacterium
Lineage: Bacteria
Description: partial 16S ribosomal RNA
Rfam family: Bacterial small subunit ribosomal RNA
Source: RNAcentral